UGGAAUACGCAGAGAGCAACGUGGUCGAGAAAAGAACCAGAACUCAGCAGCAGAAUGUGAAUGGCCACUGCAGAUACGUGGUCAGGAAGAAUGACACGUUCACAAGCUCACACUCAGAUAAAAGGUUGUUUUGUGCUUCUAUCAAAUGUGCUCGGGUGAUGACCUGCCUGUUCUGAUCUACAAUAGUUUUGUUUGCUGCCCUAUCUCUAGUGCCUCCAGUGUGCCUACCACAUACAAAGGAAAUUGAACACGAAAGGAGAAGCCAUGAGGAGCAGCCAGAAGCUGGAAAUUGGUAGAACCCAGAAGAGAAAGAAGACAGAUCACCAGGUGAUGGAAAAGCCCCCAAAAUCCAAGGAGUGCUAGCAGCCAGCCCCAGAAUGUCUUUGAGGAUGAACAUUGCUUUGCUGCCACCUCGAUUUUGGACUUCUCCUAGCCUCUAAACUGUGAGCCAAUAAAUGCCCUUUUUUUAAGCUAACCCAUGUAUGGUAUUUGUUUUAGCAUAUGAGAAACUAAUACUUUUUCGAGUAAUGCUUGCAAAAAAAAAAAUAUAUAUAUAUAUAUAUGCAUAUAUAUAUAUAUAUGCAUAAUGCUCAUUAGAAUUGCUGCCCAUGAGCUCAUAAAUGAAUUUUUCAGAGUACUGUUCUUUUAAAUGUCUGAACUUUUAAAUACUUUGAGAGAAAAUUUCCCCAAAUGGAUCACUUGUUGUGAUGUCUUUUUUAUGAUCAACACCUCUAAAAUUUUAAAUAUUUUUUAACGGCUUUGAGAUUAAUGAAUCAACACUGAAGCUUGUAGGAUGCUUUGGCUGUGUACCACAAAGGCCCUUGCCAGCUUUGAUUUUUUAAUUCUUCUGUCAACUCUCAUUUUUCUGUUUAUUUUCAGCUACUACUUUUUCCUUAUAGCAGUAUGCAAAAUAUCUAAAGUUCCUCCAGUAUUUCCUCUUCUGACUUAAGAGUAAGUGGGUAGUGUUUAAAUACCAAAAGGGUUCCUGAAAGUAAUGGGCUUUGUAACUUUCACACUGGUUUUGGUGAGCAUGACCCAGCAAACAGCUAUAUUAGAGAAAAUGAAGACAAAUACAGUAUUACUGAUUUCCAUAUACUUCAGCCAUUCUUGGAAAUAUACACACACAUAAAAGGACUGUUAUUCUUGGGGCAUGGGUGGGCUUCAGAGCCACUUAAAUUGUAUAUAAAAAUUUGAGUAAAUGUGAAUUCUUCUGGGAUGAGGGGUUACAGUUUUCAUCACAGUCUCAAAGAUAUCAAAGACUCAAAAAAAUUUAAUAAAUAAGACACUGUGGUGAUGAACGCGUAACUAUGUUAUCAUACUGUGGACAGUGGAUUGUAUAUCAUGGAUGAUUGUAUGGUGUGUGAAUGUAUU
Choloepus didactylus (southern two-toed sloth) is the source of this 1371-nucleotide long non-coding RNA. RefSeq lists it as uncharacterized. Lineage: Eukaryota; Metazoa; Chordata; Mammalia; Pilosa; Megalonychidae. The transcript is spliced from 3 exons. The record is from RefSeq and is a predicted model, not a curated record.